This 85-nucleotide transfer RNA is filed under the name Parcubacteria group bacterium SW_6_46_9. RNAcentral's name for it is "tRNA-Leu". It matches the Rfam family "tRNA". From Rfam's summary of the family: Transfer RNA (tRNA) molecules are approximately 80 nucleotides in length. Their secondary structure includes four short double-helical elements and three loops (D, anti-codon, and T loops). The record is from RNAcentral.
GCCCGGGUGGAGGAACUGGUAGACUCGGGGGAUUUAAGAUCCUCUGCUUUAGAGCGUGUGGGUUCGAAUCCCACCCCGGGCACAA